GGUCGGAUGGUGUAGUGGUACAUCAUCCGGGCCGGUCUUCUAAGCCUGAACAUCUAUCCCACCUGAGACAGAAGAUCGCUGGUUCGACUCCAGCAGACCU
RNAcentral lists this transfer RNA (100 nucleotides) under Blumeria hordei DH14. RNAcentral's name for it is "tRNA-Arg (TCT) (tRNA-Arg-TCT-4-1, tRNA-Arg-TCT-4-2)". The record is from RNAcentral. Lineage: Eukaryota; Fungi; Ascomycota; Leotiomycetes; Helotiales; Erysiphaceae.